AAAAGAACGUCGUAAUCGAACGCUGUGAUGUUUGUAAACAAUAGCAUGCAGUGUCCAGUCAGGGGUGUAGAGCGAAGAACCUAUCAAACCUUCACGGUGUGAGCAUCUAAAGUAACCUUAAUCGUGCAGUGAACAUAAGAAUUCAAUGGACACUGAACUGAAUCCAGAACCAGGGGAAAAAACCUGGAACUUUUUAUGAAAUAAUAUACGAUUCCCAAUCAAACAGAAGACCAAAAGAAAAUAGUGACAGCGAGCAAGAUCCAAAUCACAAGCAUCCAAGAAAACCCGAAAUCGGCAAGAACAUCACGGAAGCCCAACUGACCACAUCCGAAGACUCAACAGUAAACAGAAUUGUUUCCUUCAGAGAAAAGAAGGCAAAAUAAGAGUAAAGAUUCAAGUAACGAGAGGAAGAAACUCAAAAGAAGAUGAAGACUCGGGGUCUGAUGAAACCAACGCCUAAGAUAGAAAAAAAGCGGGCAUCAAGUCAAGGUCAGAAAAUGGUGGCUCCACUUAAGCUGAAAUUAAUGACCUUUGUUGAUCCAGAAGUCAGAAGAGGUCAGAGUGGAGAAAAUAUGCCUUACUGUUAAGUCAAAGCACCCACCCAAAUACAAGAGGAAAAGCAGUUCAAACCAGGAAGGCAGAAGAAGAGAAAAACAUAUGAUCCCCACGGCAGCAAACCGAAGCAUGUUACCUUCAGUGAGACUGAAGAGGAGAAUGUGCACAUAAUGCUGCAUUGCUUUGAGAGCUUUGACUGGCUGGAUCAACUUGAAAAGCCACAGAGGAAAGUUGUUGUGGAUAAAAAAAAUGCGCUCCAGAUAAAAGACCCAUUCCAGGCAAUGACAUAUAGGGAAUAUCUACAGAGGUUUAGGCUAAACAAGGAAAGCACACGUCAUUUCAUCCAGCAAGUGCAUCAGAAUCUUCCAAGAGCUCAGAAUGGUCAAGAAUUGUGUACCACCUCAUCUGCAAGUACCUAACAACCAGUAACCAUCAGUUAACAAUUGAUGACCGAGAUGUGUCUCAGACUUUGUCAGUACCUGUGUUGGAAGAGUAGUAAGGAGAAUAGCUGGGUGGAGUGGAUCAAAAUGACAUCUGGAAAUGAAACAGGGUUGGUGCCAGAGGGGAGGCAGGGAGCUGCAGGGAGCCAGACCCUCUUCAGAGAAAAUACAGUUUGCCAAGGAAUAUUCAAAGGAAAAGACAAGCUUCAUUUGCGCAUGAAUGUUUAUCAGUAUAAAUGUUUUGAUCUUUCCUAACCUUGAUGGAUCAAGGGGCUGUUGCUCAAGAGUUGAUUAAUUUUAUUAGCAAAUUAUUAACAUAAUCAAAGAAAAUGAAUAAGAAACACUGAGUAAUUUAAAGAUUCAGGUAGGGAUGACUGGGUAUGAUUUGAGAGAGAGAGAGAGAGAGAGAGAGAGAGAGAGAGAGAGAGAGAGAGAGAGAGAGAGAGAGAGAGAGAGAGAGAGAGAGAGAGAGAGAGAGAGAAAUAUGGAAUGUUUGAUAUCCAAGCAAUGCACCACCCCAAUACAGUUUGUUGAUGUUGAUUCAAAGGACAAAACAUGCAAUGACAUGCUUCUCAAUGCAAAAUACCCCCCCUAAAUUCUUACUUUACUGGCAUAUAGAGUAGAUGCCCAUCAAUCUAUAGCAGGAGCAUGAAUAAGGAUCAAACUCUAAUGUGAAUAAAGACACAAGCUUCAAAUGGUUCUGGAAAGCAACAAUGUUCUUUAUAGUGCCAAUGUUGUUUUGAAGAACAUGUGCAAGCAUGAAAGUAUGUUUAUGCGCUCAUGUAUGCCAGACGAAUAGGCAAAUGUUUUGAGAUCUGGUGCUGGAACAAUAACAAUGGGGAAAACAAAUUACCAUUACCAUUUUCUGUGGCAAAAAACUAAUAUUUUGCCAUAAUAGUAACAAAAAACUUAUGGCAUGCCAUGGCAUGUACAAAUAUGCCACCCAGCAGCUAGGGGUUAAUCUGUACCAUGAUUACUGCAGAGUUUGAGAAUUCCCUAGUCCCUGGCUAGAGAAAAGAAUAGGUUAGGUCUAAGGGUUCACGGGCUGGAUACUCAAAACAACCCUUAAGUUACAAUGUUGAAGACGUUGUAACCGCCUUACUACAUUGUACUUUACGAACUCCUUGCUAUAUUUAUAUUGUAAGUGCCCCAUACUAAAAGCAACAACAACAACAAUAAUGCCAUGGAAGUUACAACUCAAAAGAAAAGAAGACCAAAUUUCUCAGAUGAAGAGAUGUUGGCUGUAAUAGAAGCCGUGGCAACAAAGAAGAAUGUGGUUCUAGGUAAAUUAGAUAACAGAAUAACUGCACAAGUGAAAAAUAACACCUGGGAGAGUGUGAAUAAGGAGGUGAAUCUUGUUGCUUGCAUACCGAGGAAUGUGAAUGAAGUGCAUAGGAAGUUCACAGACCUCAGAGCAGCCGUCAAAAAAAAGGCAGCACAAGAGAAAAAACACAUGGGAGGAACAGGUGGUGGCCCAGCAGUUCUCACAAACUACACUCCUGUUGAAGAAGCUAUGCAGACUGAUUGAGCCUGUUGCUAUUACUGGCUUAGUAGGGGUUUAUGAAAAUGAGACAAGUUGAUGAUGUUACAGAACUAACUCCUGGGCCAUCUGGGAUAGCAUCUCAGAUCAUAACACACUCAGCAGUUAUUGUAACAUUGGAUGAGGGCACUUCAGAGGAGCAAGAAAUAACAAUACCCAGUGUGUCAAUGGACCCCACUUACUCCUCAGAAUUACCUCCUUUUUUAAUAGAAGACAGUAAUGCUCAAGAUGGAUUUAGUGCAACAGCCCUUUCAAGAACAGAGCAGGCCAAGGUCUCAACUUGAGUCAGAAGGAGGUAGUGCAUGGUCGUAAAAGCAGACCAGAGGAAAGGAGAAUUUUGCCUGACAUGCUUCAGGUACAAAUAUAGAAAGUCACUUGAAACAGCUUGUAAGCUCAGUGAAAGACAUUGCAUCAGCAUUACAAACAAUUGCUGGUGUUAUGAAAGAUAGGGUAUAAGUUCCUAUUUUUAUCAAAUGUUAUAUUUUUUAGUUUUUUCCCAUACAAUACUAGUCUUAAUCUACUCAGUUAUAGCACACAGUUGACAUUAAUUUGUGAUAGGCAUUUGUAUAUUUAACAGUCAUAAUAUUAAGUUAUAGCUUGAGAGACUGUUAUUAUACAAAAUAAGUCUUUAUUUUGGAAUUACUAUAUUAUUUUUGUAUUGUAGAUUAAGGCAAAAGUCCAUUAAAUAUUAUUUAUUUUUUGUUCACAUUAAUAUUUGCAUUGAGGUUGUGAGAAGUGUCUUUUUGUUAUGUUGUAGAGUAAGAC
Molecule: RNA transcript, 3300 nt
Organism: Penaeus monodon (black tiger shrimp)
Lineage: Eukaryota; Metazoa; Arthropoda; Malacostraca; Decapoda; Penaeidae
Exons: 9
Source: RefSeq, a predicted model, not a curated record